Molecule: ribosomal RNA, 358 nt
Filed under: Staphylococcus aureus
Lineage: Bacteria; Bacillati; Bacillota; Bacilli; Caryophanales; Staphylococcaceae
Description: partial 23S ribosomal RNA
Rfam family: Bacterial large subunit ribosomal RNA
Source: RNAcentral
AGGGUUGGGCUGUUCGCCCAUUAAAGCGGUACGCGAGCUGGGUUCAGAACGUCGUGAGACAGUUCGGUCCCUAUCCGUCGUGGGCGUAGGAAAUUUGAGAGGAGCUGUCCUUAGUACGAGAGGACCGGGAUGGACAUACCUCUGGUGUACCAGUUGUCGUGCCAACGGCAUAGCUGGGUAGCUAUGUGUGGACGGGAUAAGUGCUGAAAGCAUCUAAGCAUGAAGCCCCCCUCAAGAUGAGAUUUCCCAACUUCGGUUAUAAGAUCCCUCAAAGAUGAUGAGGUUAAUAGGUUCGAGGUGGAAGCAUGGUGACAUGUGGAGCUGACGAAUACUAAUCGAUCGAAGACUUAAUCAAAUU